GGGUGGGGGGAAGCAGCCAUGCUGUAUGCACCGUGGGGACUGCCCCUGGGAUCCCUGAGCUGCACAGAAGAGCUUUUGAGGCACCGGUGGGUUCAGGGAGGCAGCUCUGAAAUAACUGGCUGGGGAACGCUUCAUCAGAAGAUGGACCACAGGGCCACUGAGAAGCCAGCCUUCUGCCAAAUGCUCCUGAUGUCCUACAGACCUCCGUCAUGUGGCUGUAUCUCCAUCUGCCAGCAAGGGGAAGCUCUCCUGCUGGGUAUGUGUUGCCCAGUCCUACGGUGUUUAUCUGGAGAAAGAAGAGAAGAUAAAGGAAGAAGUGCUGCCUGCCCAGCAAGAGCCUGGAUUUACCCUGUGUAAACAAAUUUUGAGCUGUCUUUUGCAGUCAGUCUUACUAGAAGCACUGCAUACUAUUUCCUCCCAAGACAAAUCUAGUAUUUUCAUUGUGCUCCUGGAUAUUAUGCCUCUUCACUGUAUGCACUGUAGUCACCGCUGUAGUCAGCCUGUGUGUAUGAGAAAUGAUUCAGUACCUAUAAUGCAAGAGAUUCUGGCCAGUAGAUGCCUUUUUUUGCACAGCUAGUGCAAUGAGGUCUCCAUUUGAUGGGGAUUUCCAGCAUUUUUAUUGCUUCAAUAAAUAUAAGAGCAACUUCCCCUAAACAACAAUCAGUCACCUUGGUUGCAACGAGCAUCUCCUCUGGCAAAGGCUGAGAUGGUGUCAUGUUAGCAAGGUUUAUCUGAGCAUUUAUCUGAGCCCUGGCCCUGUGUGUGGCUCCUGCUCAGCUCCACAUGUGCCCGAUCAGUCGUACCCAACACAUGAGGUUUUGGAACAGUGGAAACUUUAAUGUCCCAUAUUGUGACUGUAAGACCCAGACCUCACUGGAAGGCAGUGAGAGCCUGCCUUGCAGGGAUCCUGCUCACCAUCUGGAUGCUACAAGCUGGUGACAUGCUGCUACCAAGUGCCUUCUGCCACACGUGGAGCAGCAAAGCGGGCCUCACCUCCUCUCCUCAGGUCCCCUCCUCAGGGUAUCCUCUGCACCCCAGCCCACCCCAUGGUGGUCUGCAGAGAUCUGCUUCACAAGCUGAGGACACGGAUGGUGGGAGAUACAUUGCUGAGCAGCCACUGGAGGUGGCAUGGAGGCAGCAGCUGGGAUGAGAGGAUGGGGAGGAGACGUGCAGGACCUUUGUGGCGAGGUGCUGUGCUGGGGGAACGGCACACAAAGCAGGCACAGAGGGACUGAGUGGCUGUUGGGCUGGGCAGCAACCUUUCAAUAUUGUUCUGAGAUCCUGGCGUGCUCUGGAAAACACUGUGUCAACACAAUGUGUUUGUGUUUCUGGCUUCACCUCCACUGGGGAUGUCUAAAAUUAAGCAACUAUUGACAGGAUGGAGGUUUUGCUAUGUGCUGAAAGACGAGAAGACUGCUCUAAACAAAGCGUAUUCUCUAGCUAGCUGGGAUAAAA
Long non-coding RNA from Cygnus atratus (black swan), 1455 nucleotides. RefSeq lists it as uncharacterized. The record is from RefSeq and is a predicted model, not a curated record. The transcript has 3 exons. Lineage: Eukaryota; Metazoa; Chordata; Aves; Anseriformes; Anatidae.